ACGUAGGACCCAAGCGUUAUCCGGAGUGACUGGGCGUAAAGAGUUGCGUAGGCGGUUAGUAAAGCGAAUAGUGAAAUCUGGUGGCUCAACCAUCAACCCAUUGUUCGAACUCACUAACUCGAGAGUGGUAGAGGUACUUGGAAUUUCUUGUGUAGGAGUGAAAUCCGUAGAUAUAAGAAGGAACACCAAUGGCGUAGGCAGAGUACUGGACCAUUUCUGACGCUGAGGCACGAAAGCGUGGGGAGCGAACCGGA
Molecule: ribosomal RNA, 254 nt
Filed under: uncultured prokaryote
Description: partial 16S ribosomal RNA
Rfam family: Bacterial small subunit ribosomal RNA
Source: RNAcentral